AACGAACGCUGGCGGCAUGCCUAACACAUGCAAGUCGAACGAGGUUUCCACUUCGGUGGUUUCCUAGUGGCGCACGGGUGAGUAACGCGUGGGAACCUGCCCUGUGGUACGGAAUAACUCCGGGAAACUGGAGCUAAUACCGUAUGUGUCCUGCGGGACAAAGAUUGCAUCGCCAUGGGAGGGCCGCGUAGAUUAGCUGGUUGGUGGGGUAACGGCCGUACCAAGGCUCCGAUCCUUAGCUGGUCNGAGAGGAUGAUCAGCCACACUGGGACUGAGACACGGCCCAGACUCCUACGGGGGCGA
Molecule: ribosomal RNA, 303 nt
Filed under: uncultured bacterium
Lineage: Bacteria
Description: bacterial SSU rRNA
Rfam family: Bacterial small subunit ribosomal RNA
Source: RNAcentral